GGAUCCUUGGCAGCUUGCUGCCGGGGUGAGAGUGGCGAACGGGUGAGUAAUGCGUGACCGACCUGCCCCAUGCACCGGAAUAGCUCCUGGAAACGGGUGGUAAUGCCGGAUGUUCCACAUGAGCGCAUGCGAGUGUGGGAAAGGCUUUUUGCGGCAUGGGAUGGGGUCGCGUCCUAUCAGCUUGUUGGUGGGGUAACGGCCUACCAAGGCGUUGACGGGUAGCCGGCCUGAGAGGGCGACCGGCCACAUUGGGACUGAGAUACGGCCCAGACUCCUACGGGAGGCAGCAGUGGGGAAUAUUGCACAAUGGGCGCAAGCCUGAUGCAGCGACGCCGCGUGCGGGAUGGAGGCCUUCGGGUUGUAAACCGCUUUUGUUCAAGGGCAAGGCACGGUUUCGGCCGUGUUGAGUGGAUUGUUCGAAUAAGCACCGGCUAACUACGUGCCAGCAGCCGCGGUAAUACGUAGGGUGCAAGCGUUAUCCGGAUUUAUUGGGCGUAAAGGGCUCGUAGGCGGUUCGUCGCGUCCGGUGUGAAAGUCCAUCGCUUAACGGUGGAUCCGCGCCGGGUACGGGCGGGCUUGAGUGCGGUAGGGGAGACUGGAAUUCCCGGUGUAACGGUGGAAUGUGUAGAUAUCGGGAAGAACACCAAUGGCGAAGGCAGGUCUCUGGGCCGUUACUGACGCUGAGGAGCGAAAGCGUGGGGAGCGAACAGGAUUAGAUACCCUGGUAGUCCACGCCGUAAACGGUGGAUGCUGGAUGUGGGGCCCUUUUUCCG
Molecule: ribosomal RNA, 773 nt
Filed under: Bifidobacterium pseudolongum
Lineage: Bacteria; Bacillati; Actinomycetota; Actinomycetes; Bifidobacteriales; Bifidobacteriaceae
Description: bacterial SSU rRNA
Rfam family: Bacterial small subunit ribosomal RNA
Source: RNAcentral